This 429-nucleotide ribosomal RNA is filed under the name Gemmatimonadota bacterium. RNAcentral describes it as "Gemmatimonadetes bacterium partial 16S ribosomal RNA". It matches the Rfam family "Bacterial small subunit ribosomal RNA", at positions 355 to 776 of the family's 1533-position model. Lineage: Bacteria; Pseudomonadati; Gemmatimonadota. The record is from RNAcentral.
UAGGGAAUCUUCGGCAAUGGACGAAAGUCUGACCGAGCAACGCCGCGUGAGUGAAGAAGGUUUUCGGAUCGUAAAACUCUGUUGUUAGAGAAGAACAAGGACGUUAGUAACUGAACGUCCCCUGACGGUAUCUAACCAGAAAGCCACGGCUAACUACGUGCCAGCAGCCGCGGUAAUACGUAGGUGGCAAGCGUUGUCCGGAUUUAUUAGGCGUAAAGCGAGCGCAGGCGGUUUCUUAAGUCUGAUGUGAAAGCCCCCGGCUCAACCGGGGAGGGUCAUUGGAAACUGGGAGACUUGAGUGCAGAAGAGGAGAGUGGAAUUCCAUGUGUAGCGGUGAAAUGCGUAGAUAUAUGGAGGAACACCAGUGGCGAAGGCGGCUCUCUGGUCUGUAACUGACGCUGAGGCUCGAAAGCGUGGGGAGCAAACAGG